CCCUUAGAUGUCCUGGGCUGCACGCGCGCUACACUGAUGUGUCCAGUAAGCACCUAACCUCUUCCGAAAGGAACGGGUAACCUUUGCAAAGCACAUCGUGAUGGGGAUAGAUUAUUGCAAUUAUUAGUCUUGAACGAGGAAUUCCUAGUAAGCACAAGUCAUCAGCUUGCGUUGAUUACGUCCCUGCCCUUUGUACACACCGCCCGUCGCUCCUACCGAUUGAAUGGUCCGGUGAAGCGUUUGGACUAUGGUUUUCUGAUGGUCCGCCGUUGGAUUACCGUGGGAAGUUCGUUAAACCUUAUCAUUUAGAGGAAGGAGAAGUCGUAACA
This 329-nucleotide ribosomal RNA is filed under the name uncultured eukaryote. RNAcentral describes it as "partial 18S ribosomal RNA". It matches the Rfam family "Eukaryotic small subunit ribosomal RNA", at positions 1470 to 1796 of the family's 1831-position model. The record is from RNAcentral.